This 88-nucleotide ribosomal RNA is filed under the name Halopolyspora algeriensis. Its description in RNAcentral is "partial 16S ribosomal RNA". It matches the Rfam family "Bacterial small subunit ribosomal RNA", at positions 1448 to 1533 of the family's 1533-position model. Lineage: Bacteria; Bacillati; Actinomycetota; Actinomycetes. The record is from RNAcentral.
GGGAGUGGUCGAAGGUGGGACUGGCGAUUGGGACGAAGUCGUAACAAGGUAGCCGUACCGGAAGGUGCGGCUGGAUCACCUCCUUUCU